CGGAGUCGGAUGGAGAUUUGAGGUACCACAAGUAGGUGCAGAGCCUAAGUUUGGAAACGGCCGCCGCCCAAGUGGGCUGUGUGCCAUGUAUUGACAUCCA
Molecule: long non-coding RNA, 100 nt
Organism: Corvus hawaiiensis (hawaiian crow)
Lineage: Eukaryota; Metazoa; Chordata; Aves; Passeriformes; Corvidae
Exons: 3
Source: RefSeq, a predicted model, not a curated record